RNAcentral lists this ribosomal RNA (254 nucleotides) under uncultured bacterium. RNAcentral's name for it is "partial 16S ribosomal RNA". It matches the Rfam family "Bacterial small subunit ribosomal RNA", at positions 524 to 776 of the family's 1533-position model. The record is from RNAcentral.
UACAGAGGCCACGAGCGUUAGGCGGAAUCACUGGGCUUAAAGCGUGUGUAGGUGGAUGGGUAAGUACCUUGUGAAAUCCCACGACUCAAUCGUGGAACUGCUUGGUAUACUGCCUGUCUUGAGGCACUCAGGGGCGAGCGGAACAGAUGGUGGAGCGGUGAAAUGCGUAGAUAUCUGGAGGAACACCGGUGGCGAAGGCGGCAUCCUGGACCAAUAUUGACGCUGAGGAGCGAAAGCUAGGGGGAGCAAACGGG